UACGAAGGGGGCUAGCGUUGUUCGGAAUUACUGGGCGUAAAGCGCACGUAGGCGGAUUGUUAAGUCAGGGGUGAAAUCCCGGGGCUCAACCUCGGAACUGCCUUUGAUACUGGCAAUCUCGAGUCCGGAAGAGGUGAGUGGAAUUCCUAGUGUAGAGGUGAAAUUCGUAGAUAUUAGGAAGAACACCAGUGGCGAAGGCGGCUCACUGGUCCGGUACUGACGCUGAGGUGCGAAAGCGUGGGGAGCAAACAGG
RNAcentral lists this ribosomal RNA (253 nucleotides) under uncultured bacterium. RNAcentral's name for it is "partial 16S ribosomal RNA". It matches the Rfam family "Bacterial small subunit ribosomal RNA", at positions 524 to 776 of the family's 1533-position model. The record is from RNAcentral.